AGCUCCAAUAGCGUAUAUUAAAGUUGUUGCAGUUAAAAAGUUCGUAGUUGGAUUUGGGGGCAGCUCGAGCGGUCCGCCGAGAGGCGAGCACUGCCCGGGCGCCCUUCCUCUCGGAGGCCCCGUCUGCUCUUUACUGUAGUGGGCGGGAGAUUCGGGACGUUUACUUUGAACAAAUUAGAGUGUUCCAAGCAGGCCGGUGCUUGAAUACAUUAGCAUGGAAUAAUGGAAUAGGACGCCGGUCCUAUUUUGUUGGUUUUCGGGUCUGGUGUCAUGGUUAAUAGGGACAGUUGGGGGCAUUCGUAUUCAAUUGUCAGAGGUGAAAUUCUUAGAUUUAUGGAAGACGAACUACUGCGAAAGCAUUUGCCAAGGAUGUUUUCGUUAAUCAAGAACGAAAGUACGC
RNAcentral lists this ribosomal RNA (400 nucleotides) under phytoplankton environmental sample. Its description in RNAcentral is "partial small subunit ribosomal RNA". It matches the Rfam family "Eukaryotic small subunit ribosomal RNA", at positions 587 to 994 of the family's 1831-position model. The record is from RNAcentral.